GACAGAGGCUCCCUACAGAGAACAAUAACAUGGCGGCCGACCAGUGCAAAAGCUGUUAUACCCCCAGCAAAACCAGUGAAUGGCUGGAAGCCAGCGGAAAAUGACCUCAGGCGAAAGAAAAUCAAAACGUCUCAAUCAUGUUUUUUCUUAGAGGAUGGCAGCAUGGGGAUGGUUUUCAAGGCAUACCCAAAAGCAAGAAGCAUUCGAAACGGGAUCACUACAGUGAAGCUACCAAAGCGGGAAGAGAUUUGCUCAACCAAACAGGUCUCCUCUGACUAAGUGUUGAACCAAAGUGUUUUAUCACAGAAGAUAAACUUAACUCGCACUCACAGUUACAUUCCUGCACUUUUUAUUCCUUGUGUAAAGUAGUAUUUAUUGUUACAGGUCUGGUGAUCUGC
Molecule: long non-coding RNA, 398 nt
Organism: Clupea harengus (Atlantic herring)
Lineage: Eukaryota; Metazoa; Chordata; Actinopteri; Clupeiformes; Clupeidae
Source: Ensembl